This 468-nucleotide ribosomal RNA is filed under the name uncultured bacterium. RNAcentral's name for it is "partial 16S ribosomal RNA". It matches the Rfam family "Bacterial small subunit ribosomal RNA", at positions 28 to 507 of the family's 1533-position model. The record is from RNAcentral.
GACGAACGCUGGCGGCGUGCUUAACACAUGCAAGUCGAACGGAAAGGCCCUGCUUUUGUGGGGUGCUCGAGUGGCGAACGGGUGAGUAACACGUGAGUAACCUGCCCUUGACUUUGGGAUAACUUCAGGAAACUGGGGCUAAUACCGGAUAGGAGCUCCUGCUGCAUGGUGGGGGUUGGAAAGUUUCGGCGGUUGGGGAUGGACUCGCGGCUUAUCAGCUUGUUGGUGGGGUAGUGGCUUACCAAGGCUUUGACGGGUAGCCGGCCUGAGAGGGUGACCGGCCACAUUGGGACUGAGGUACGGCCCAGACUUCGACGGGAGGCAGCAGUGGGGAAUAUUGCACAAUGGGCGGAAGCCUGAUGCAGCAACGCCGCGUGCGGGAUGACGGCCUUCGGGUUGUAAACCGCUUUCGCCUGUGACGAAGCGUGAGUGACGGUAAUGGGUAAAGAAGCACCGGCUAACUACGUG